This 197-nucleotide ribosomal RNA is filed under the name uncultured bacterium. Its description in RNAcentral is "partial 16S ribosomal RNA". It matches the Rfam family "Bacterial small subunit ribosomal RNA", at positions 335 to 524 of the family's 1533-position model. The record is from RNAcentral.
ACUCCUACGGGAGGCAGCAGUGGGGAAUAUUGCACAAUGGGCGCAAGCCUGAUGCAGCCAUGCCGCGUGUAUGAAGAAGGCCUUCGGGUUGUAAAGUACUUUCAGCGGGGAGGAAGGUGUUGCGGUUAAUAACCGCAGCAAUUGACGUUACCCGCAGAAGAAGCACCGGCUAACUCCGUGCCAGCAGCCGCGGUAAU